RNAcentral lists this ribosomal RNA (459 nucleotides) under uncultured bacterium. RNAcentral's name for it is "partial 16S ribosomal RNA". It matches the Rfam family "Bacterial small subunit ribosomal RNA", at positions 338 to 795 of the family's 1533-position model. The record is from RNAcentral.
CCUACGGGGGGCAGCAGUGAGGAAUAUUGGUCAAUGGCCGAGAGGCUGAACCAGCCAAGUCGCGUGAGGGAAGACUGCCCUACGGGUUGUAAACCUCUUUUGUCGGGGAGUAAAGCGAGUCACGUGUGACUCAUUGAGAGUACCCGAUGAAAAAGCAUCGGCUAACUCCGUGCCAGCAGCCGCGGUAAUACGGAGGAUCCGAGCGUUAUCCGGAUUUAUUGGGUUUAAAGGGUGCGCAGGCGGAGGUGCAAGUCAGCGGUCAAAUUUCGGGGCUCAACCCCGUACUGCCGUUGAAACUGCAUGCCUUGAGUGCACGAGAAGUAUGCGGAAUGCGUGGUGUAGCGGUGAAAUGCAUAGAUAUCACGCAGAACUCCGAUUGCGAAGGCAGCAUACCGGCGCGCAACUGACGCUCAUGCACGAAAGCGUGGGUAUCGAACAGGAUUAGAUACCCGUGUAGUC